This 455-nucleotide ribosomal RNA is filed under the name uncultured Leptolinea sp. RNAcentral's name for it is "bacterial SSU rRNA". It matches the Rfam family "Bacterial small subunit ribosomal RNA", at positions 917 to 1381 of the family's 1533-position model. Lineage: Bacteria; Bacillati; Chloroflexota; Anaerolineae; Anaerolineales; Anaerolineaceae. The record is from RNAcentral.
CGGGCCCGCACAAGCAGCGGAGCGUGUGGUUUAAUUCGAUGCUACACGAAGAACCUUACCAGGGUUUGACAUGCUAGUGGUAGGAAACCGAAAGGGUGACCGGACCCUUCGGGGAGCUAGCACAGGUGCUGCAUGGCUGUCGUCAGCUCGUGUCGUGAGAUGUUCGGUUAAGUCCGCUAACGAGCGCAACCCUCGCUGUGUGUUAUAUGUGUCACAUGGGACUGCCGGCCUUAAGCCGGAGGAAGGUGGGGAUGAUGUCAAGUCAGCAUGGCCUUUAUGUCCUGGGCUACACACACGCUACAAUGGUCAGCACAAUGGGUCGCUAAGCCGCAAGGUGGAGCCAAUCCUCAAAGUUGGCCUCAGUUCAGAUUGUAGGCUGCAACUCGCCUGCAUGAAGAUGGAGUUGCUAGUAAACGCAGGUCAGCCAUACUGCGUUGAAUACGCUCCCGGGGCUU